RNAcentral lists this long non-coding RNA (235 nucleotides) under Elaeis guineensis (African oil palm). RNAcentral describes it as "long non-coding RNA (EGUI_LNC006182)". Lineage: Eukaryota; Viridiplantae; Streptophyta; Magnoliopsida; Arecales; Arecaceae. The record is from RNAcentral.
UGAUAGUCGGCUUCUCCUCGUAUAUGAGAGCAUCAAUCAACCUUUGUUGGAUGAGCACAUCCUUCACCCUCGCUUGUCAUAGGAAAAAAUUGCUCUUUCUAUCAAACUGAUUCAUCUCUAUCUUGAUUGAGAUUGCCUUCUCCAUUUUCUCUAACCUCGAUCAGCACCGCCACAAUCCAGAUAAUCCCAUGCUCUGAUACCACUUGUUCGAGAAUCCCUCACGAGUGCGGAAUAC